Molecule: long non-coding RNA, 2057 nt
Organism: Acanthopagrus latus (yellowfin seabream)
Lineage: Eukaryota; Metazoa; Chordata; Actinopteri; Spariformes; Sparidae
Exons: 10
Source: RefSeq, a predicted model, not a curated record
UUGGAUCAGAGAUUUGUCAAUUAUAUUGUGUUCAUGUAACUUGAUUGGUUUAAGGCAGUUGGUUUCCUCAAAUGAAUUUAGUAGACAAAAUGUAAUUUUAAGUUAUCACAGCUAGAAUGUAAUAAGUUAUUAAACUUGAGUAAAAAGAGUAGUGUUACUUAAUUCACAUACAUUUAAUGAACAUGUUAUAUCAGUUGAAUGAAUUGCUGCAUUUAAGUGCAAAAAGCUAAAUCUUUACAUUUCACUUCAGUAAAUGGAAUUAGUAAUGCUAACUCAUAAUUUACAUGUCACAAUAACUUUAUAUAUACAAGUUAACUUUACUUACAUAAAAUAAUUGCUGGUACUUAAUUUAUUUGAGUUAGUAAACUUAAAUAGUUCAAGGCAAUCGGUUUCCUCAAACAGUUUAAGUUGAAGUAACUUGUAAGGUUUUACAGUGAUAGUGGAAUUACAAGGUCCAAAAGACUGAAACCAUCCGGUACCCAGUGAAGGAAAAGAAGGAAAGGAGAGGAAGACGUGAAGAAGAUACAGUUAUUACAAUCUUUCAGGUUUCCAUCAUUGCUAUGGUGGUUACUAUGGACUCUGCUGUCGCUGAUGUACUUCCACCAGUUUUUUCUUCUUCUUUUUUUAUUGCCAACCUUCUCCUGCUUCAGGUAAGAACGCAACUGUGUUAGUAAAUCAGAAAUGCAAUGAGCUAUAUUGCCUUGACACCAAUCAGUUUUGUCAAUAACAAAGUUUGACAAAUUUAGAUAGAUAGAUGUACUUUAUUGAUUGUGACUAGACUAGGCUUUCUUGAUUGUGCUCUCACUCUACUUUUAUUACUGUUUUACAGAUGACCAGUUUCUCUCAUCUCUCAGUCCCUCUACCUUCCUUUACACAACCAACGGCUCUUUUAAGAGCCAACCAUUUGUCAACAACAAUAUCAGAGGCAAGCUGGGACAGAAGUCUAUACCAUAUAGGGUGCACUUUCCCCACAGAUCAGAGAUGGAGGAUUGAGCAUCUUUUAGUUUUGCUGUUUCGGCACUAUGGCAGCAGAUGAGGCUACCCUUAAGGAGCUGAUCAGAAAGGCACAGAGCCUGGCAGAGCAUCUCAACUCACUAGUCGAGCCUGCACAGGUGAACAAAAGAAGAUCAAAACCACCAGUCCAGAUCUGAUGGAGAAAGCGGGAUAAAGAUGGCAGCAUUAUUGCCCAGACCAUCAAGUCCUCUUCAUCCAAAUCCCGUGGUGGAAGGCCCAGAUGACUUUACCUCAGUGUUCCUGAGGGGACAUCAGUGGAGAUGCCUGAUGAGGAAGAGGCAGGACUCAAAUAUUGCCAAUGGAAAUGCCACACCAGAUUUGUGACUCCCCCCCAGAGAAUGUGUCUGUCAUUGCUGGGAGGCCUGUGGUGUUCAUCAACAUGAAAGGACGAGAUGAUCUGACCCUCCCAGAGCUGUGAUGUGGUGGCUGCUGUGCCAGCUGGACCCCAGGGCUGUACCAUGUCCAAGUCAGUGGCUACUGGCCUGCCACCAUCCAUUUCCAUACCAUCUAUGAUGUAGCUAUGAUUCAAGCUUUACGGGAGAUGAAGUUGGCUGCUCCAGGGAUUUCCCGCCUGACCUUUAUGAGAAUGCUGGAAGCACAAACAACAGUGUAUGGCAGGACUGGUAAAGUUUGCUCAGACACAUUUUUCCAGAGCUUCAUGGAGCGGGUCAUCAGCUCCUACGAAGUGGACAAGUUGUGCUCAGAGCAACCAUUCGCCUGCACAACCUGUCCCCUCAGAUGUUGGCUGUGUCUGUGGAUGGAAACAGGAAGCACUACUGCUUCAAAAAGGGUGGACACUCUGAGGAAGGGGGUUAUUUUGACGGUGUGCUCAUCUGCAAGGAUAACGAGGUUGCAGUAUUUGCGGACGACCUCCAAAAGAGGGCCAAGCAUUUGCCAGGUAAAGGUGUUUGUGGCAGGUCUCAGCUGAACGCAGCAAAGGAGACAACAAGCAAGAGGGCUUGUUCCAGCCUUGAUGAGCAAGGUCUAAAGUAGCAGUGUGCCGUCGUGGCAUUAUCCUUCGGGCCCUGAAUAUGUACAGGCAA